This 1760-nucleotide long non-coding RNA is filed under the name Homo sapiens (human). RNAcentral describes it as "HSALNT0324325". The record is from RNAcentral. Lineage: Eukaryota; Metazoa; Chordata; Mammalia; Primates; Hominidae.
ACUUCCCCGGCCGUGCCGUCAGGGGCGCUCCAGAGCAGCCCCGGUGCCCACGUCUCAUCGCAGCCCUCUGGCAGGACAGCGCGCGUCUAAACUAAGCCGAGGCGCACUUCGCUAAGGGGACCUCUCCGUUUGGACAAUCCCGACGCCCGGCUCUACGUGAGGCGUUUUUCCCUCGUUCUCAUUCAUGGGCGGCGCUGGGCAUUCUCUGCCAUCCUUAGGGGUCCUCCACAGCAUGCGGGAGGCCGGCGCCCCAGGGCUCUUUCACCCCCCGCUGCUCUCGUUCCUCCACGUGUUCUCCCGAGCGACCCACCCGCGUUCAUGGUCCCAAACCCCCACCUAACCUCCAGCCAGCGCCCUUCUCCCGAGCUCCAGGCCCCUCCAGCUCCAGUGUGGGCAUCGUCCCCUGGUUCUCCUCAAGUCCACUUACACUCAGCCUCUUCCAGGCGGAAUUCCUCAUCUCCCACACAACCCUUUGCCGCUCUGGUAUCAGCUGGUGGCUUCUCCGUGGCCAUGCAGAGAAUAGAGACAGAACUUGAAACUGAUGUGCACAUGAGUGAGAUUCUUCAGCAAGGUGACAGACAGGAGGGUAAAGAGGAAAUGCUCCUGCCGGGCCUGAGUCUCCCCGACGAGCGCUGCCCCAUGUUCCACGGCGCCCGAUCCCAUCCACUGCCCAAGGUCUGAGGAGUGCCAGCGCACGGCGACGGAGUGGCAGGCAGCUCCACCUGCGGCCCCGGUGUGAGAUCCACUGGAUGAAGCCAGCUGGACUCCUGAGUCUGGUGGGGACUUGGAGAAUCUUUAUGUCUAGCUGGGGGAUUGUGAAUGCACCAAUCAGCACUCUGUAUCUAGCUCAAGGUUUGUAAACACACCAAUCAGCACCCUGUGUCUAGCUCAGGGUUUGUGAAUGCACCAAUCGACACUCUGUUUCUAGCUAAUUUAGUGGGGCCGUGGAGAACUUUUGUGUCGAACUCAGGGAUUGUAAACGCACCAAUCAGCACUCUGUCAAAAUGGACCAAUCAGCUCUCUGUAAAACAGACCAAUCGGCUCUCUGUAAAAUGGACCAAUCAGCAGGAUGUGGGUGGGGCCAGAUAAGAGAAUAAAAGCAGGCUGCUCCGCGCUAGCACUAGCAAGUUGCUAGAGUGGCCUGCCACAGUGUAAGUUUUGUUCUUUAGCUCUUUGCAAUAAAUCUUGCUACUGCCCACUCUUUGGGUUUACACUGCAUUUAUGAGCUGUAACACUCAUGGUGAAGAUUUACAGGUUCAGUCCUGAAGCCAGCGAGACAAAGAACCCACUGGGAAGAACAAACAACUCCAGACGCCCCAACUUAAGAGCUGUUAACACCCGAAGAUCUGCAGCUUCACUUUUGAGCCAGCGAGACCACGAACCCACCAGAAGGAAGAAACUCUGAACAGGCUGGAACGUCAGAAGGAACAAACUCAGGACAUGCCACCUUUAAGAACUGUAACACUCACUGUGAGGGUCUGCGGCUUCAUUCUUGAAGGCUGUGAGACCAAGAACCCACCAAUUUCGGACACACUGGGACCACCCUCGCUGACUGGAGAUAAGGAAACUGAGGCACACAAGGUCAGCUAACCUGCCCGAGGUCUCUAGCUAGUGACUGGAAGAGGUGUUCUCUGGAUAUUAUUUGAAUCUCAGUCUCGCUAUAUUUCUUCGUCAUGACUGUAACUUUCCCCCUGUAUUUCUAAAUAUUUUAAUCUCUUGAUCAUAUAGCAUACGUUGAUUUAAUAAAUCACUUUUACAUG